This 625-nucleotide long non-coding RNA is filed under the name Mus musculus (house mouse). Its description in RNAcentral is "predicted gene, 47419". The record is from RNAcentral. Lineage: Eukaryota; Metazoa; Chordata; Mammalia; Rodentia; Muridae.
AGGCCCAUCCACAACAAAUGCCUUUGGAGAGCCAUCGUGAAUUCUUGCUUGAAACAACAACCAAAGCUGUGGUUGCAGGCUGCUUGCUCUGGUGUGGUUGCCUUCAGCAUAUCUUCAGACACAGUGAUUUCUAACAGCUUUGCUAUUCCUGUAUCUUUCUUCUGAUCCGGUGAUUCGAGAACUACAGGAAAAGGCAAGAUGCAUCAUUGCAGGUCCUAUAAAAUCAUCUUGAUGCAUGGUGCUUUGAGGUGGAGCCUCCUGGAGUCAGAGUUCUUGCUGAGGCCAAAACCAGUCAGGGGGAAGGACAAUCAGGAAUAUUUGCUGCUCUUCCAGUGAAUCUGAGUUUGGUCAACAGUACCCACAUUUCAUGGCCUGUAACUCCAACUCCAGGGGUUCUGACACCAUCUUCUGGACUAUCUUCCCUCUGAAUUGAGAAUGCAAAGCCAAAGUAAGAAAUUCCUGAAAGGAACCAAAGUUACCCAACAACAUGGGCAAACCCAACUGGAGCUAUCAUCUCUGGCCCAUAAUAGGAACAAAAGCUGCUCAAGCAAGCUAACUCCAAAAGAAGAGAUAGGUGAUGCUGAAGUCAUCAAAAUUUUGAAAUAGGCAAGAUCAUUUGCCCUCG